RNAcentral lists this ribosomal RNA (253 nucleotides) under uncultured bacterium. RNAcentral describes it as "partial 16S ribosomal RNA". It matches the Rfam family "Bacterial small subunit ribosomal RNA", at positions 524 to 776 of the family's 1533-position model. The record is from RNAcentral.
UACAGAGGUGGCAAGCGUUGUUCGGAAUUACUGGGCGUAAAGGGCGCGUAGGCGGCUUGGUCAGUCCCGUGUGAAAUCCCUCGGCUCAACUGAGGAACUGCACGGGAAACUGCCUGGCUUGAGUUCGGGAGAGGGAAGCGGAAUUCCGGGUGUAGCGGUGAAAUGCGUAGAUAUCCGGAGGAACGCCGGUGGCGAAGGCGGCUUCCUGGACCGACACUGACGCUGAGGCGCGAAAGCUAGGGGAGCAAACGGG